This 61-nucleotide transfer RNA is filed under the name Tenebrionoidea sp. 22 KM-2017. Its description in RNAcentral is "tRNA-Cys". The record is from RNAcentral. Lineage: Eukaryota; Metazoa; Arthropoda; Insecta; Coleoptera.
GGUUUAUUAGUCAAAUAUGAUUUUAAUCUGCAAAAUUAAAGGUAAAUUUAUUUAUAAACUU